AGAUUGAACGCUGGCGGCAUGCCUUACACAUGCAAGCCGAACGGCAGCACGGGAGCAAUCCUGGUGGCGAGUGGCGAACGGGUGAGUAAUACAUCGGAACGUGCCCAGUAGUGGGGGAUAGCCCGGCGAAAGCCGGAUUAAUACCGCAUACGACCUAUGGGUGAAAGCGGGGGAUCGCAAGACCUUGCGCUAUUGGAGCGCCGAUGUCAGAUUAGCUAGUUGGUAGGGGUAAAAGCCUACCAAGCGACGAUCUGUAGCUGGUCUGAGAGGACGACCAGCCACACUGGGACUGAGACGACGGCCCAGACUCCGUACGGGAGGCAGCAGGUACGGGGAACUUUUGGACCG
RNAcentral lists this ribosomal RNA (348 nucleotides) under uncultured soil bacterium. Its description in RNAcentral is "bacterial SSU rRNA". It matches the Rfam family "Bacterial small subunit ribosomal RNA", at positions 26 to 373 of the family's 1533-position model. The record is from RNAcentral.